GUGAGGAAUAUUGCGCAAUGGAGGCAACUCUGACGCAGCCAUGCCGCGUGCAGGAAGAAGGCGCUACGCGUUGUAAACUGCUUUUAACCGGGAAGAAACCCCAGGACGUGUCCUGGGUUGACGGUACCGGAGGAAUAAGCACCGGCUAACUUCGUGCCAGCAGCCGCGGUAAUACGAAGGGUGCAAGCGUUAUCCGGAUUCAUUGGGUUUAAAGGGUGCGUAGGCGGAGCGUUAAGUCAGUGGUGAAAUCCUGCAGCUUAACUGUAGACGUGCCAUUGAUACUGGCGCUCUUGAGUGCGCUUGAAGUGGGCGGAAUGUGCCGUGUAGCGGUGAAAUGCUUAGAUAUGGCACAGAACACCAAUUGCGAAGGCAGCUCACUAAGGCGAUACUGACGCUGAGGCACGAAAGCGUGGGGAUCGAACAGGAUUAGAAACCCUUGUAGUCC
This 445-nucleotide ribosomal RNA is filed under the name uncultured bacterium. Its description in RNAcentral is "partial 16S ribosomal RNA". It matches the Rfam family "Bacterial small subunit ribosomal RNA", at positions 354 to 796 of the family's 1533-position model. The record is from RNAcentral.